CUGCUGCCUCCCGUAGGAGUCUGGUCCGUGUCUCAGUACCAGUGUGGGGGACCUUCCUCUCAGAACCCCUACGCAUCGUCGCCUUGGUGGGCGUUACCCCGCCAACUAGCUAAUGCGACGCAUGACCAUCCGUAGCCGGAAUCGCUUCCUUUAAACCCGAGGAGAUGCCUCCUCGGGUUGUUACGCGGUAUUAGACGGAAUUUCUUCCGCUUAUCCCCCUGCUACGGGCAGGUUUCAUACGUGUUACUCACCCGUGCGCCGGUCGCCGGCGGGAGUA
Molecule: ribosomal RNA, 277 nt
Filed under: uncultured bacterium
Lineage: Bacteria
Description: partial 16S ribosomal RNA
Source: RNAcentral